Small nucleolar RNA from Apodemus sylvaticus (European woodmouse), 133 nucleotides. RefSeq annotates it as small nucleolar RNA SNORA17. The record is from RefSeq and is a predicted model, not a curated record. Lineage: Eukaryota; Metazoa; Chordata; Mammalia; Rodentia; Muridae. The transcript has a single exon.
CCUGCCCCCUACAGUUAUUACAGAUGUGACUGCUGUGUCACAUAUGCACCAGUAGGUGGCAGAGAGGAGACAGGCUGUGUUUACAUUCAGUGCUCUGCCCUAGGAACAUCAGAAUGCUCAGUAGGCUAACAUU